RNAcentral lists this ribosomal RNA (171 nucleotides) under Salmonella enterica subsp. enterica serovar Oranienburg. RNAcentral describes it as "partial 16S ribosomal RNA". It matches the Rfam family "Bacterial small subunit ribosomal RNA", at positions 1 to 167 of the family's 1533-position model. The record is from RNAcentral. RNAcentral also lists the same sequence under 3 other names. Lineage: Bacteria; Pseudomonadati; Pseudomonadota; Gammaproteobacteria; Enterobacterales; Enterobacteriaceae.
AAAUUGAAGAGUUUGAUCAUGGCUCAGAUUGAACGCUGGCGGCAGGCCUAACACAUGCAAGUCGAACGGUAGCACAGAGAGCUUGCUCUCGGGUGACGAGUGGCGGACGGGUGAGUAAUGUCUGGGAAACUGCCUGAUGGAGGGGGAUAACUACUGGAAACGGUGGCUAAU